This 408-nucleotide ribosomal RNA is filed under the name uncultured bacterium. RNAcentral's name for it is "partial 16S ribosomal RNA". It matches the Rfam family "Bacterial small subunit ribosomal RNA", at positions 28 to 526 of the family's 1533-position model. The record is from RNAcentral.
GACGAACGCUGGCGGCGUGCUUAACACAUGCAAGUCGAGCGGAGCGGCGAACGGGUGAGUAACGCGUGAGUAACCUGCCCUCCUUUUUGGGAUCAGCUUUGGAAACGGUGUCUCAUAUCGAAUAAAGGGGGGUGGGUUCGCGGCCUAUCAGUUUGUUGGUGGGGUGUUGGCUUACCAUGGCGGUGAGUGGUAGCCGGCCUGAGAGGGUGACCGGCCACAUUGGGACUGAGUGACGGCCCAGACUCGUACGGGAGGCAGCAGUGGGGGAUAGUGCACAAUGGGCGAAAGCCUGAUGCAGCGACGCGGCGUGGGGGAUGAAGGCUUUCGGGUUGUAAACCUCUUUCGCGAUCGAACGGGUAGGUAGAGAAGAAGCGCCGGCUAACUACGUGCCAGCAGCCGCGGUAAUAC